CAGUCGCCGCGGGAAAACGUAGGGCGCAAGCGUUAUCCGGAAUUAUUGGGCGUAAAGAGCUCGUAGGCGGUUUGUCGCGUCUGCCGUGAAAGUCCGGGGCUCAACCCCGGAUCUGCGGUGGGUACGGGCAGACUAGAGUGAUGUAGGGGAGACUGGAAUUCCUGGUGUAGCGGUGAAAUGCGCAGAUAUCAGGAGGAACACCGAUGGCGAAGGCAGGUCUCUGGGCAUUAACUGACGCUGAGGAGCGAAAGCAUGGGGAGCGAACAGGAUUAGAUACCCGCGUAGUCCCUGUCUCUUAUAA
This 301-nucleotide ribosomal RNA is filed under the name uncultured bacterium. RNAcentral's name for it is "partial 16S ribosomal RNA". It matches the Rfam family "Bacterial small subunit ribosomal RNA", at positions 509 to 809 of the family's 1533-position model. The record is from RNAcentral.